Molecule: ribosomal RNA, 460 nt
Filed under: uncultured bacterium
Lineage: Bacteria
Description: partial 16S ribosomal RNA
Rfam family: Bacterial small subunit ribosomal RNA
Source: RNAcentral
CCUACGGGAGGCAGCAGUGAGGAAUAUUGGUCAAUGGUCGUAAGCCUGAACCAGCCAAGUAGCGUGCAGGAUGACGGCCCUACGGGUUGUAAACUGCUUUUAUACGGGGAUAAAAUGCCUUACGUGUACUGCUUUGCAGGUACCGCAUGAAUAAGGACCGGCUAAUUCCGUGCCAGCAGCCGCGGUAAUACGGAAGGUCCGGGCGUUAUCCGGAUUUAUUGGGUUUAAAGGGAGCGUAGGCCGCAUGUCAAGCGUGCCGUGAAAUGCCGGGGCUCAACCAUGGCAGUGCGGCGCGAACUGGCGUGCUUGAGUGCGCGGAGGGCAGGCGGAAUUCGUGGUGUAGCGGUGAAAUGCGUAGAUAUGACGAAGAACUCCGAUGGCGAAGGCAGCUUGCUGCAGCGCUACUGACGCUGAGGCUCGAAAGCGCGGGUAUCGAACAGGAUUAGAUACCCGGGUAGUC